AUUGAACGCUGGCGGCAUGCCUUACACAUGCAAGUCGAACGGUAACGCGGGGCAACCUGGCGACGAGUGGCGAACGGGUGAGUAAAGCAUCGGAACGUGCCCAGUAGUGGGGGAUAGCACGGCGAAAGCCGGAUUAAUACCGCAUACGACCUAAGGGUGAAAGGGGGGGAUCGCAAGACCUCUCGCUAUUGGAGCGGCCGAUGUCAGAUUAGGUAGUUGGUGGGGUAAGGGCCUACCAAGCCGACGAUCUGUAGCUGGUCUGAGAGGACGACCAGCCACACUGGGACUGAGACACGGCCCAGACUCCUACGGGAGGCAGCAGUGGGGAAUUGUGGACAAUGGGCGCAAGCCUGAUCCAGCCAUGCCGCGUGCGGGAAGAAGGCCUUCGGGUUGUAAACCGCUUUUGUCAGGGAAGAAAUCCUUUGGGUUAAUACCUCGGGGGGAUGACGGUACCUGAAGAAUAAGCACCGGCUAACUACGUGCCAGCCGCCGCCGUAA
This 498-nucleotide ribosomal RNA is filed under the name uncultured bacterium. RNAcentral describes it as "partial 16S ribosomal RNA". It matches the Rfam family "Bacterial small subunit ribosomal RNA", at positions 29 to 523 of the family's 1533-position model. The record is from RNAcentral.